This 459-nucleotide ribosomal RNA is filed under the name uncultured bacterium. RNAcentral describes it as "bacterial SSU rRNA". It matches the Rfam family "Bacterial small subunit ribosomal RNA", at positions 337 to 793 of the family's 1533-position model. The record is from RNAcentral.
ACCUACGGGAGGCAGCAGUGAGGAAUAUUGCACAAUGGGGGCAACCCUGAUGCAGUAACGCCGCGUGAGUGAUGAAGCAGUUUAUCUGUGUAAGGCUCUGUUAGGAGGGACGAAUUGUAGGGUUAGUUGCCUUACUUGACGGUACCUCCUGAGGAAGCUCCGGCUAACUCCGUGCCAGCAGCCGCGGUAAUACGGGGGGAGCGAGCGUUGUCCGGAUUUAUUGGGCGUAAAGGGCAUGUAGGUGGUCUUUUAAGUCAGUUGUUAAAACUAUCGGCUUAACCGGUAAUUGCAAUUGAUACUGGAAGACUUGAAUCUGAGAGGGGAUAGUGGAAUAUCAAGUGUAGCGGUGGAAUGCGUAGAUAUUUGAUAGAACACCUGAGGUGAAGACGACUAUCUGGUUCAUGAUUGACACUGAAAUGCGAAAGUAUGGGGAGCAAACAGGAUUAGAUACCCCCGUAC